GAAGGGUGCAAGCGUUACUCGGAAUCACUGGGCGUAAAGCGUGCGUAGGUGGUUUUUUAAGUCUGUCGUGAAAGCCCUGGGCUCAACCUGGGAACGGCGAUGGAUACUGGAAAGCUAGAGUGCGGUAGAGGGGUGUGGAAUUCCCGGUGUAGCGGUGAAAUGCGUAGAGAUCGGGAGGAACACCAGUGGCGAAGGCGGCACCCUGGACCGACACUGACGCUGAGGCGCGAAAGCUAGGGGAGCAAACGGGAUUAGAUACCCCGGUAGUCCUAGCUGUAAACGAUGAGCGCUGGGUGUGGCGGGUAUUAACCCCUGCUGUGCCGAAGCUAACGCAUUAAGCGCUCCGCCUGGGGAGUACGGUCGCAAGGCUG
RNAcentral lists this ribosomal RNA (371 nucleotides) under uncultured bacterium. RNAcentral describes it as "bacterial SSU rRNA". It matches the Rfam family "Bacterial small subunit ribosomal RNA", at positions 527 to 896 of the family's 1533-position model. The record is from RNAcentral.